RNAcentral lists this ribosomal RNA (234 nucleotides) under Triticum aestivum (bread wheat). RNAcentral describes it as "partial small subunit ribosomal RNA". Lineage: Eukaryota; Viridiplantae; Streptophyta; Magnoliopsida; Poales; Poaceae. The record is from RNAcentral.
AUGCGUAGUGGACGUUUGGAGAAGAAGAACAGGAGCUACAACAUUCCUACUGCCAAGCGCGCUGAAUAUAGGUUGGCGGAGGCUUAUGGGGAACUCCCGAAGGGGAUGUCAUCUAAGAAAGGCUCCGAGGAGGAUGUGCAAGAGAAGAUGAACUCUUAUCUUCGGAUGUACAAGAAACCGCCUACGCCGACUGCGAUCCAGGCAAUUCGUGCAUUGGUGGAGGCCAAUGGUUGA